Molecule: small RNA, 82 nt
Filed under: Flavobacterium araucananum
Lineage: Bacteria; Pseudomonadati; Bacteroidota; Flavobacteriia; Flavobacteriales; Flavobacteriaceae
Description: Flavo-1 RNA
Rfam family: Flavo-1 RNA
Source: RNAcentral
GUCUAGCCCUGAUUGAAGUGGAAAUCCUUUUUAUUUUUUUCUUUAAAAAAUAAAAAGAUUGGAGCGGAAAGCAGGAAAUAGC